GGAGCCGUGGUGCAGCGGUGAGCAUACUGGCCUGUCAAGCCAGAGAUCGCGGGUUCAAAUCCCGUCGGCUCCGCCA
This 76-nucleotide transfer RNA is filed under the name Syntrophomonadaceae bacterium. RNAcentral's name for it is "tRNA-Asp". It matches the Rfam family "tRNA". From Rfam's summary of the family: Transfer RNA (tRNA) molecules are approximately 80 nucleotides in length. Their secondary structure includes four short double-helical elements and three loops (D, anti-codon, and T loops). The record is from RNAcentral. Lineage: Bacteria; Bacillati; Bacillota; Clostridia; Eubacteriales; Syntrophomonadaceae.